Non-coding RNA from Bacteroidetes bacterium oral taxon 272, 75 nucleotides. The record is from Rfam. Lineage: Bacteria; Pseudomonadati; Bacteroidota.
GGGCGUUUAGCUCAGCUGGUUCAGAGCGUCUGCCUUACAAGCAGAGGGUCGGCGGUUCGAAUCCGUCAACGCCCA